UACACCUGUAAGGAAACUCCCUGCUCAGUGCCCAUGGAAAACACCUCCCAGGGCGGCGAUGAGGGGAAGGAAGGGGACCAAUGCUCCAGGAGAAACUCUAUGAUGGACCACUUCUAGUGCUCCAGGCCAUGGCUCUAACAUCCAGAGGCUACAAUUCCUGCCCGUUUUCCAGGAAGAGAGCACCUCAGUGGUCUGGCUGCCACACUCCCAAGGCCAGGUUUCCUAUUUAGCUCAGCUGAUAUGGCUGCUCCCCGUUGUUUGCUCUGCUGCAUCUCGGAGCUCUAAGGAACCAGCCAGCAUCCUUAGAAUCACAGGCAGGCAAAGAAGGGAAGAGAAGGAAGAAUUCUUAAACAGUCAGUGCAGACUGCCAAGCAAAAGGGCAGCACCAGGAACUAAAUGCUGACAUGAUGCCCCUACCUAAAGACCUUUGUCUCCAGUCCUCUAUGGUAGCUGGCUCCUUCACCCACCUUUGCUUUCUGUCUUGGUCACAACUCAACGGCUACUGCAGUUUCCUAAGACCCUGUUUUCCAACCCAAGCUGGGAGAGUAGAGCUCAGUUCUAUCUACCACUUCCAUGAUGUUUGACUCAGAGCCCGGCAAGCUGGUGGCAAACACCAACUCUCCUUUCCCCACACAGGGUGGUGGUGGUGAUGUCAGUCUUUGGCCUGCUGCUAUGUUGGCCUUAGAGGGCCUAACAGCUGCCCCUCAUGUCCAUGUCUCUAGACUGCUUCUCUGAGCUUCAGAUCUUAUCGCUAAUGGCCCACUGACACAUCUACUUUGAACCGCCUCCUAUCAAACCGCAGCCAGCCGUAUCCUCCCGCUGCUACAGUAUUCUGUUUCCUGUCAACUGUGCUGUGCUGCCUCUGAGGCCUGAAAACUUGAGUGAGCAGUUCUGUGCCUUCUCCACUUACCCACCUGAAGCCUGUGCUGUGCCUCCUCCUGCCUCAGCUCCCCACUGGCAGGUGAAUUCUGCAAGAUCACUCAGGAGUGCCCUCAACUCUUGUCCUCCCUACACUGAUGCCAUGGAGUCAAGGAGGAAGUGAACACAACAUGGUAAGUCUGAGCUCAGAAGAAAUGUCAAAGCAUUAACCGGUGGGCAGAGCUUCAAGGGGAAGUCAGGAAGGAACUGGGCUCCUGUCACUCUGCCCACACGCUCCAUAUCGCAGCUGGAGAGGCCUGGGUCUGCAUCCCCUCGGUUUCUUAUCAUUAUUCCCACUAGUGUACAUUCUUUGGGCUCAGAUCCUUCCGUCUACCCAAUGAGGCUAGGUACAAGACUGUUUCUUUUCCUAACAGAGAGGAAAGAAAAGGUCUUGGCUGAUGACCUCCAGGUGACAGGGACACCUUAGCAGGUUACUCUGUACCUAUCCCAGGUUGCCGACCUCUCUGACAAAGAACGAACUCACCACUGCCAUCCAGGCAUGUCCAACCUCUGGUUAUUAUUCACUAUGUUGUCAUCUACAAAGUUCACCCCUAAUGACUGUGUAACCGAGUUUUAUAUAUGCAAAAAGAACCCCAUAAUCUUUGAUGAGGGGUUACAAUUCUAUGUUGGGUUGUGUUCAGAUAUUUUGAGGCAUAUGCAGCUCACAGGUAAGGCACACCUAGAAGACCUGUAGAACGCAGGGCUUACUGUGUAAACCUCUGAAGGCAUGCUCUACCAGUGAUACAGAAACACUCUGUGCUAUUUUCUGUCUCAGGGCACACAUGAAGACAUUGAAAAGAGAUUAUAUCAUCUAAAGAAUGUACACAACAGGUUCAGGGUCUUGGGAUACUAACCCACCUAUCCGAGGUACUUUGUUUUUUACCUUUGGAGAUAGCCAGAACGGCUGGUUUUGACAGCAGUGUCCACCAGGCCUUCUCGUCCUGCCAUGCAGUGGAAGAAGAACUCCUAUGAGGAAAGUGGGAGCCCGAUGUGGCAGUGAGUACCAUGCAGGGUCACCUUAUGCACCCUCUCCUAGCCAUGCAGAUUGUUCAUUUCCUAGAUUCUAGAAUCCUGGCUUUCAUAACCCCAAUAGCUCCUAAAGACUUGUGAUGCCCUGGGAUCGCUCUCUUCCUGCCUGAGGCGGAGGGACACGUGGAUCAAAAGCAACAGGAGUCAGAAGCCCUAAGUGCACUCCCUCAUGCAUCCUGAGGACACUGUAUGCCACUCUGCAGUGAGAAGCAAUGCUGGAGUUCACCGCUGUCCUGCAAAUCCCAGACCUGGAUCCUGUAGCUCAAAUAUUCCCUAAACUUUUCUGUUUAGUUUUGGGAUAAAGUCUUCAUAUGUCAUCUAAGCUA
Mus musculus (house mouse) is the source of this 2273-nucleotide long non-coding RNA. RefSeq annotates it as predicted gene, 26628. The transcript is spliced from 2 exons. The record is from RefSeq and is a predicted model, not a curated record. Lineage: Eukaryota; Metazoa; Chordata; Mammalia; Rodentia; Muridae.